GCCCCCUCGGCUGUACUGCUGGGGAACUGAGCCUGUACAUGGAACUGCCUGGAGGGGAUUGGUCAUGGGGCCAGUCCGAGCCCUGCGACCGCACCCACUGGCAGCUGCCUCCCUGGCUGGACUCCAAGGACUGGUAGCAGCAGUGGGGCUGUGUGGCCCCCAAGCAGAGACAUGGGAGAGCUCUGUCCACCAAGACGAACCCUGGAUCUGCUGAGUCAGCCCUUAGCCUGUAGCAGGGGCUCUCAAACGUUCAUACUGGUGACCCCUUUCACGCAGCAAGUCUCUGAGUGCGACCCCCCCUUGUAAAUUACAAACACUUUUGAAUAUAUUUAACACCAUUAUAAAUGCUGGAUGCAAAGCAGGGUUUGGGGUGGAGGCUGACAGCUCACAACCCCCCAUGUAGUAACCUUGUGACCUGAGAGGUCCCGACCCCCAGUUUGAGAACCCCUGGCCUACAGCACCAGCUGGGCACUGCUCAGUGUGUGCUGGCCACAUGAGCUGGAACCUUGGGCCACAGCGUUUACUUAGUACCUUUUAUUGACCUUCUGGCUUUUACCAGGCUGUGUGAUCUGGGGGGGGCAAAGGGCUGAGGGCCCCCCUUUGUCACUGCUACGGCAGUGCUACCCCUUAGCAGCACCCUCCCCUGUCCCUCCCAGCCUGGGGCCCAGCAGAGACUGCUGAGUUCAUGUAGCAGGAGUUCCCCUGAUGGAGCCUUUCCUCGCUUAGGCAGGGGAAGCCCAGCUUUGCAGGGGGCUAGGAGAGUUCGGGAAAGAUGCUGCUCCCCAGACCUUGUUUCUGCUCUUAACCCCCCCACACUCCCAGUUGGGAACUGGUGCCAUCCCCAGAGCCUGUGUCCUGGGUACUCUGUCAUUCUGCAGCUUGCUUUUCCAGUCUCGGCUCUCUUCUCUGACUGCUGCCGAGAUGCCCCACUGAGGGCAUCACUGAGUUGCACUGUGUUGGGUGCUGUCUGCAGCCUGGACUCCUGGUCAUAAGGAUCCUAUCUGUCUGAAUCCUGGCUGCUCUUUCUUUGAUCUGCAGAAUGACUGAUGCUUUUCAGCCAUCAGUUGUAGGUAAAGAAUCUAAAGAAUAUCUAAGUAUAAUCUAACGUUCUCCUGUGAAAUGCGGGCUGUGCAAACCCUUCCGUGGCUGGAUCAUUCUUG
Gopherus flavomarginatus (Mexican gopher tortoise) is the source of this 1160-nucleotide long non-coding RNA. RefSeq lists it as uncharacterized. The transcript has 3 exons. Lineage: Eukaryota; Metazoa; Chordata; Testudines; Testudinidae. The record is from RefSeq and is a predicted model, not a curated record.